This 798-nucleotide ribosomal RNA is filed under the name Pertusaria dactylina. Its description in RNAcentral is "mitochondrial SSU rRNA". It matches the Rfam family "Bacterial small subunit ribosomal RNA", at positions 348 to 1191 of the family's 1533-position model. The record is from RNAcentral. Lineage: Eukaryota; Fungi; Ascomycota; Lecanoromycetes; Pertusariales; Pertusariaceae.
CCAGCAACUUGGAGGAAUGUAUAGCGAAAGCUAGUUGCAUUAACUAACCGUUAAUGCAGCAGCGACUAUGUCGUGUAAAGUUCAGGGUAGAGUUAUGAUAAUGACAUUUUCUAUCUGUGUGUCUCGACCAAACUACGUGCCAGCAGUCGCGGUAAUACGUUGGAGACUAGUGUUAGUCGUCUUUAGUAGGUUUAAAGGGUACCUAGACGGUCAUUACAGCCCCCAAAGGGUACUGUUUGAACUAGAGUUUUAUGAGAGGGGGGGUGUACUAAUGGUGUAGAGAUGAAAUUCAGUCAUACCAUUACGAACAGGCAACAGCGAAGGCAACCCUUUAUGUGUAAACUGACGUUGAAGGACGAAGGCUUAGUCAACCAACAGGAUUAGAUACCCUAGCAGUCUGAGCAGACAAUGAUGAAUGCCAUAGACUGGAAUAAUAAAUUAUAAUUUCCAUAUAAUUAUAUAUGGGAAAAAAACAUUUUGUUUUUUGGUUAUAAAAUUUUGUCUAUAAAUGAAAGUGUAAGCAUUCCACCUCAAGAGUAACGCGGCAACGCGGAAACUGAAAUCAUUAGACCGUUUCUGAAACCAGUAGUGAAGUAUGUUGUUUAAUUUGAUAAUCCGCGGUACACCUUACCACAAUUUGUAUGUUUAGUAAUAAAUACAAGAGUUGCACGGCUGUCUUCAGUUAAUGUCGUGAGAUUUUGGUUAGUUCCAUUAAAUUAACGUAAACCCUUACUUUAUUUUAGUAAAUAGAGUAGUUCACCGCUAUAUUGGAUAUGAUAAAAGGGACUAAGACAAGUC